This 238-nucleotide unclassified non-coding RNA is filed under the name Glomeraceae sp. RNAcentral describes it as "partial contains 5.8S ribosomal RNA and internal transcribed spacer 2". The stretch from base 1 to 65 matches the Rfam family "5.8S ribosomal RNA", at positions 84 to 154 of the family's 154-position model. The record is from RNAcentral. Lineage: Eukaryota; Fungi; Glomeromycota; Glomeromycetes; Glomerales; Glomeraceae.
GUGAAUCAUCAAAUUUUUGAACGCAAAUUGCACUCUCCUCGGAGAGUAUGCCUGUUUGAGGGUCAGCCUAUAAAAAAUCGACAUCUUUGCUUUUUCGCGGGGGCUUUCUUCGGAAAUUGUGUCAUCUUAAAUCUUUUGUUUUUAAGCGACUUAAAAUUUUCUUUUUGUUUCCUUGAACUUUUCUAUGAUUUAUUUCUUUACACGUUUAAGUUAUCUAUUUUUAUUAGACGUAACCAUC